Passer domesticus (house sparrow) is the source of this 404-nucleotide long non-coding RNA. RefSeq lists it as uncharacterized. The record is from RefSeq and is a predicted model, not a curated record. The transcript is spliced from 3 exons. NCBI's taxonomy places the organism in Eukaryota, Metazoa, Chordata, Aves, Passeriformes, Passeridae.
ACUGUCUUUGGUUUUGCCCCAGAGAGAUACAGCUAAAUUAAAAGGCACUCUGUUGGGGAUGAACGUAACAAAUACUUUCUUGGUACACUGAGCAGUCAGUGAAGGAAGGAUUGAGUUGAGUCUUCCCAAGAACCAGACACAGGAACUUUCCAGAAAUGCUACUUCUGCUGUAACAUCACAGAAAACUGGUGCCAAGCUUGGCCAGCUACCUGCUAAGGAUAAAAUGGAGGUGGAAACCACCAUUUGUAUAUGCCCAUAUAACUUGUAAGGAGCAAAAAUCAAUUGCCGCAGCUAAACCAGUGGAUUCAGGAAGACUUGGGUCACACAUGCUUCAGUGUACUUGUUACUGCAGGAAGGUAUUCAAAGAACAAGGGGUUUUUGUCUAAUAAAUUAAACCCUAGGAA